CGCGUAGGUGGCUAAUUAAGUCAAAUGUGAAAUCCCCGAGCUUAACUUGGGAAUUGCAUUCGAUACUGGUUGGCUAGAGUAUGGGAGAGGAUGGUAGAAUUCCAGGUGUAGCGGUGAAAUGCGUAGAGAUCUGGAAGAAUACCAAUGGCGAAGGCAGCCUACCAGCAGAUGACUGACGCUGAGGUGCGAAGGUGUGGGGAGCAAACAGGAUUAGAUACCCCUGUA
This 225-nucleotide ribosomal RNA is filed under the name uncultured Acinetobacter sp. RNAcentral describes it as "partial 16S ribosomal RNA". It matches the Rfam family "Bacterial small subunit ribosomal RNA", at positions 568 to 792 of the family's 1533-position model. Lineage: Bacteria; Pseudomonadati; Pseudomonadota; Gammaproteobacteria; Moraxellales; Moraxellaceae. The record is from RNAcentral.